CACGCCGUAAACGAUGUCAACUGGGUGUCGGUAGUUUUACACUAGCGGUGCCGAAGCUAACGCGUUAAGUUGACCGCCUGGGGACUACGGCCGCAAGGCUAAAACUCAAAGGAAUUGACG
RNAcentral lists this ribosomal RNA (120 nucleotides) under uncultured bacterium. RNAcentral describes it as "partial 16S ribosomal RNA". It matches the Rfam family "Bacterial small subunit ribosomal RNA", at positions 796 to 915 of the family's 1533-position model. The record is from RNAcentral.